Molecule: long non-coding RNA, 574 nt
Organism: Rhagoletis pomonella (apple maggot)
Lineage: Eukaryota; Metazoa; Arthropoda; Insecta; Diptera; Tephritidae
Exons: 2
Source: RefSeq, a predicted model, not a curated record
GCGUUCGAGUGGUGGACUGCUCAGUCCGACUGAGCAGGUUAGUGUGCUCAGGCCCAUUAUGAGGUCGUUCUAUUGGUUCCGUUCUGUUGAUGCCUGUGUUGUUGUUGUUGCUAUACAGCAGAGGUGGGCACCCACACUAUCACACACAUGCGCUUGUGUACGAAGCAGCGAAGUUUUGCUCAACAGCCAGUGCUCGGAUGUUCCCAUAUUUGUGGAAUAGAUAACACUUUUUUUUGCAAAAUUACAUUUCUACUACUUCUACCACCAAAACAACAUUGCUUGCUGCGACGUCGACACAUGGAUGACAUGAUCAACUUCGUGCGUCUUACGAUAAUUGACGAUUGACUGAUUGGUAGCACUUCGGCAAAGCAAAUCAAAUCAGUUGCUGCUGAGACUUCACUGUGCAACUAUUCGAAUAAUGCAAAAUGUUUCGGGAGGAAUGGGAAAUACAUUUUUUUCAUAGAAAACAUGGAUUGGUGUGCGAAAUGCGUGAUUUGCUUUCGCGUUAUGAGUCGCAAUGUUAUGUCUUGUUUAAAAAGACAUUACAAACUGUGUCAUAGUCAUUUUGAAAAGG